Long non-coding RNA from Xenopus laevis (African clawed frog), 1716 nucleotides. RefSeq lists it as uncharacterized. NCBI's taxonomy places the organism in Eukaryota, Metazoa, Chordata, Amphibia, Anura, Pipidae. The record is from RefSeq and is a predicted model, not a curated record. The transcript has 2 exons.
UUGAGAAGUUGCUUAGAAUUGGCCAUUCUAUAACAUACUAAAAGUUAACUUAAAUGUGAACAACCCCUUUAACUUGAGUGCUGCUUCUUUCAAUUGUUAGGUUAGAGAUACCAUUUUUGCUGUAAGGCUGUAUUAUACCAGGGUGUUUUCAUCUCCAUUGUUUUCUCUGAGACGACUGCUGUGAUUAAAACCCCACAAACCACCAGCCUAUCCUUCCUGUAUGAUGGAAGUGUAUUGUUUGAAUUUUGGCAGGCUGCAUCUACAAGGAAAUUAUUCUUUAAAACCCCUCCUAGGGCUACACUAUACAUUACAGUAGAUCCAAGAGGGUCACAAAGCUCUUGUGUGUGUACUAUGUGUCAUGAACCCAAAUACCCAGAGGUAUAUUUCAUAUUGGAUAAUUCUCUAAAUAAAGCCAGAGACACCCUACCCGUACAACUGAUGAUGGAUAUCUUACAGUUCAUCCUGAACCAGAAGGAAGGAGUUAAAAGUCAGGUGUGAACCCGAGCGUUAGGAUUGGAUGUUACAGAGCUGGGAGGCUGUGGCAAAAAUGGUGGAAUCCAUGAAGAUCGUAUUAAGAAGCAGAAAGGAGAAAAGCUCUUGUUAUCAGAUUCUAUUACAAUCCCAUAUUGGGUUGUGUCGCUACAGCUGUAAAUGAUGGAGCAUGUUUCCUACUAAUGUGUCUUGUUAAGCACAAACAUGUAACCUUUGAUUUCAAGAAAUAAGUCAUUGUACACAAAGGACAUUCUGUAAAGCCUUUAGAAAGCAAAUGCCCAGAUUUCACAUCCGCUGAAAAAACGAAAGUCUAAAAUUUCACAGUAUGUUUAAGGAUAUGCAAAGAAAAGCACAAAGAUUUUUACAGAAACAGUAAAGGGAAAGAAAAGAAAAAAAUGGUUGAGUAGAAAAUUUUCCUUUGAUUAAGCGCUAAUGUGGCCUUGAUUUUGCACACAAGAAAAUAACCAGUUUUUGGUCUUGCCAAGAGACAAAUAUUAGGCACAAACCCUAAUUGCACAAAUUUGUGUAAAUUCUUUUUUACAUAUAUACAUUAUUAUAUAAUAAUCUACACUAUGAAUAUUUCACCAUUUACAAUACUGUUAGUUAACUUGUGCUGUUAAGGAUUUAAAGGGACAGGCAAAUAGCCUUGCUAUGAGCAAUAGUCUGACAUAGGGUUGCCACCUGGCUGAUAUUUUACCGGCUGAUCCCAAUGUUAUUAAUAGGCAAAAAAGAUAAAUAUAUAGGAAGGCCGGUAUUUUUUUCCAGAAAAGGUGGCAACCCUAGUCUGACAGGGCAUUCACAUUAGUGCCCGGCCGCAAUGCUAUCAGCACUAACACGGGCAGGCUGUCAGGGCAACACCCAUAGCAGCAGUUGGUAGCGUCAAGAGAUGUUGCUGCCUAUUAGCACUCUUAUUAACUUGGUUGCACUGUCACACUGGCAUCCAUUAAAACAUUGAUAGGAAGCAACACGGAUGCAAGAGGAGCUUUGAGUAAGUGUUCCUUUUACUGUAGCUUUUACUGGGUGUGCAUGUGCCUGUUUGUUACUACUGCUACUGUCAUGCUGCCUUGAUAGCACACCAGUGUUGGAGCCAACAGCAUUCCCUGCAGACACUAACAUGGGUGUGCUAUAGAUUAUAUAGGAUAAUAUACGCCUAUUAAAAUUUAAAAGACUAUUAGAUUUCAACUAGGGGUAUUGUAGCCUUAAUAAAAGCUCUGGUCUGUUUUA